Molecule: unclassified non-coding RNA, 289 nt
Organism: Callithrix jacchus (white-tufted-ear marmoset)
Lineage: Eukaryota; Metazoa; Chordata; Mammalia; Primates; Cebidae
Rfam family: Metazoan signal recognition particle RNA
About the family: The signal recognition particle (SRP) is a universally conserved ribonucleoprotein.
Source: Ensembl
GCCGGGCGCGGUGGCACGUACCUGUAGUCCCAGCUACUCGGGAGGCUGAGGUGGGAGGAUCGCUUGAGCCCAGGAGUUCUGGGCUGCAUGCGCUAUGCCGAUCGGGUGUCCGCACUAAGUUUGGCAUCAAUAUGGUGACCUCCCGGGAGCCGGGGACCACCAGGUUGCCUAAGGGGUUGAACCAGCCCAGGUUGGAAACGGAGCAGGUCAAAACUCCCGUGCUGUGGGAUCGCGCCUGUGAAUAGCCACUGCACUCCAGCCUGGGCAACAUAGCAAGACCUCCUCUCUU